AGCAGCCGCGGUAAUUCCAGCUCCAAUAGCGUAUAUUAAAGUUGUUGCAGUUAAAAAGCUCGUAGUUGAAUUUCGGGAUUGACACAUCGGUCGUGCCUUAAGGGGUAUGAACUGGUGUAGUCAAUUUCUCACCUUCUGGAGAACCGCGAUGCCCUUAAUUGGGUGUCGCGGGGAACCAGGACCUUUACUUUGAAAAAAUUAGGGUGUUUAAAGCAGGCAUUUUGCUUGAAUACAUUAGCAUGGAAUAAUAAAAUAGGACGGCAUGAUUCUAUUUUGUGGUUUCUAGGAUCACCGUAAUGAUUAAUAGGGAUAGUUGGGGGUAUUAGUAUUCAAUUGUCAGAGGUGAAAUUCUUGGAUUUAUUGAAGACUAACUACUGCGAAAGCAUUUGCCAAGGAUGUUUUCAUUAAUCAAGAACGAAAGUUAGGGGAUCGAAGACGAUCAGAUACCGUCGUAGUCUUAACCAUAAACUAUGCCGACUAGGAAUCAGACGAUGUUAAUUUUUAAUGUACUCGUUUUGGC
Molecule: ribosomal RNA, 520 nt
Filed under: uncultured Entrophospora
Lineage: Eukaryota; Fungi; Glomeromycota; Glomeromycetes; Entrophosporales; Entrophosporaceae
Description: SSU rRNA
Rfam family: Eukaryotic small subunit ribosomal RNA
Source: RNAcentral